This 2501-nucleotide long non-coding RNA is filed under the name Citrus x clementina. RNAcentral's name for it is "Citrus clementina (C. clementina) long non-coding RNA (CCLE_LNC005133)". Lineage: Eukaryota; Viridiplantae; Streptophyta; Magnoliopsida; Sapindales; Rutaceae. The record is from RNAcentral.
GUGGCCUUUUUCCGCUGGACAAACUUGGCGCCCCGGCCUUCGGGCGGUUAUUUUCGGGCGCGGUUGUCCCCGCGGCCUAUUUUUGGCACACGGAGGCCCCUAGCAAAGUCUCGCGCCAUUCCGGGACCGGCGGACGAAGUUGGGCAGCCCCACUCCCCAAGGCUAUAGCCCACCCGUUUUUGUGGCCUUUUUCCGCUGGACGAACUUGGCGCCCCGGCCUUCGGGUGGUUAUUUUUGGCGCGGCUGUACCCGUGGCCUAUUUUUGGCACACGGAGCCGCCUUGCAAAGUCUCGCGUCAUUCCGAGUCCGGCGGACGAAGUUGGCCUGCCUACCCCCCAAGGCUAUAGCCCACCCGUUUUUGUGGCCUUUUUCCGCUGGACAAACCUGGCGCCCCGGCCUUCGGGCGGUUAUUUUUGGGCGCGGCUUGCCCGCGGCCUAUUCUUGGCACACGGAGGCCGCUCGCAAAGUCUCGCGGCAUUCCGAGUCUGGCGGACGAAGUUGGCCAGCCCCACCCCCCAAGGCUAUAGCCCACCCGUUUUUGUGGCAUUUUUCCGCUGGACGAACCUGGCGCCCCGGCCUUCGGGCGGUUAUUUUUGGGCGCGGCUUUGUCCGCGACCUAUUUUUGGCACAAGGAGGCCCCUCACAAAGUCCCGUGCCAUUCCGAGUCCGGAGGACGAAGUUGGCCAGCCCCACCCCCCAAGGCUAUAGCCCACCCGUUUUUGUGGCCUUUUUCCGCUGGACGAACUUGGCGCCCCGGCCUUCGGGCGGUUAUUUUUGGGCGCGGCUUUGCCCGCGGCCUAUUUUGGCACAAGGAGGCCCCUCACAAAGUCCCGUACCAUUCCGAGUCCGGAGGACGAAGUUGGCCAGCCCCACCCCCCAAGGCUAUAGCCCACCCGUUUUUGUGGCCUUUUUCCGCUGGACGAACUUGGCGCCCCGGCCUUCGGGCGAUAAUUUUUGGGCGCGCCUGUACCCGCGGCCUAUUCUUGGCCAUGGAGGCCUCUAGCAAAGUCUCGCGCCAUUCCGUGUCCGGCGGACGAAGUUGGCCAGCCCCACCCCCCAAGGCUAUAGCCCACCCGUUUUUGUGGCCUUUUUCCACUGGACGAACCUGGCGCCCCGGCCUUCGGGCGGUUAUUUUUGGGCGCGGCUUUGCCCGCGGCCUAUUUUGGCACAAGGAGGCCCCUCACAAAGUCCCGUACCAUUCCGAGUCCGGAGGACGAAGUUGGCCAGCCCCACCCCCCAAGGCUAUAGCCCACCCGUUUUUGUGGCCUUUUUCCGCUGGACGAACUUGGCGCCCCGGCCUUCGGGCUGUUAUUUUCGGGCGUGGCUUUGCCCGGAGCCUAUUUUUGGCACACGGAGGCCCCUCACAAAGUCUCGUGCCAUUCCGAGUCCGGAGGACGAAGUUGGCCAGCCCCACCCCCCAAGGCUAUAGCCCACCCGUUUUUGUGGCCUUUUUCCGCUGGACGAACUUGGCGCCCCGGCCUUCGGGCGGUUAUUUUUGGGCGCGCCUGUACCCGCGGCCUAUUUUUGGCACACGGAGGCCGCUCGCAAAGUCUCGCGCCAUUCCGGGUCCGGCGGACGAAGUUGGGCAGCCCCACCCCCCAAGGCUAUAGCCCACCCGUUUUUGUGGCCUUUUUCCGCUGGACGAACUUGGCGCCCCGGCCUUCGGGCUGUUAUUUUUGGGCGUGGCUUUGCCCGGAGCCUAUUUUUGGCACACGGAGGCCCCUCACAAAGUCUCGUGCCAUUCCGAGUCCGGAGGACGAAGUUGGCCAGCCCCACCCCCCAAGGCUAUAGCCCACCCGUUUUUGUGGCCUUUUUCCGCUGGACGAACUUGGCGCCCCGGCCUUCGGGCGGUUAUUUUUGGGCGCGCCUGUACCCGCGGCCUAUUUUUGGCACACGGAGGCCGCUAGCAAAGUCUCGCGCCAUUCCGGGUCCGGCGGACGAAGUUGGGCAGCCCCACCCCCCAAGGCUAUAGCCCACCCGUUUUUGUGGCCGUUUUCCGCUGGACGAACUUGGCGCCCCGGCCUUCGGGCUGUUAUUUUUGGGUGUGGCUUUGUCCGGGGCCUAUUUUUGGCACACAGAGGCGCCUCGCAAAGUCUCACACCGUUCCGAGUCCGGCGGACAAAGUUGGCCAGCCCCACCCCCCAAGGCUAUGGCCCACCCGUUUUUGUGGCCUUUUUCCGCUGCACGAACUUGGCACCCCGGCCUUCGGGUGGUGUUUUUUGGGUACGGCUGUGUCCGUGACCUAUUUUUGGCACACGGAGGCCCCUCGUAAAGUCUCGCGGCAUUCCGAGUCCGGCGGACGAAGUCGGCCAGCCCCACCCCCCAAGGCUAUAGCCCACCCGUUUUUGUGGGCUUUUUCCGAUGGACGAACUUGGCGCCCCGGCCUUCGGGCAGUUACUUUGGGGCGCAGCUUCGUCAGCAGCCUAUUUUCUGCACACGGAGGCCCCUCGCAAAGUCUCGUGGCAUUCCGAGUCCGGCGGACGAAGUUGGCCAGCCCCACC